Non-coding RNA from Pelobates cultripes (western spadefoot toad), 401 nucleotides. The record is from the annotation of a GenBank genome assembly. NCBI's taxonomy places the organism in Eukaryota, Metazoa, Chordata, Amphibia, Anura, Pelobatidae.
GACCCAUUUGAUUCGUUUGAAUGUCUUAAUGUCAAUGUGUAGUGAUCACCUAUUAUGUUUAUGUGUGACACACACAGUAUAUUUCCCUUAUUGUUGAUGUUGCUUAAGGUGAGUUCGUUGGGACGCAUAAAAUGCCAGGUAUAUGGCUGUUUUGAGUGUGUUAUUGGUGUGAUUAUCAAAGGGUUUGGUAUCUAACAUGUCAGACAAUGCCCUGAAUUUCUCUGCGACAAUUGGUAGCCAUCUAGUAGGUUUUAGGUUUUCUAGGCGUUGGAUGCCUUUUAGCAUAUUUUAAUGGGGUGUGCUGAUAGGAAGUUUUUUAUACUGGAAUAUGUGUUGCUUACAUGAUGCUGUAUUCCAGUUAAAUAGAGUUUUAUGGUGUUGUGUGCCAGUUUCAAGUUGAG